ACGUAGGAACCGAGCGUUAUCCGGAUUCACUGGGCGUAAAGCGCGUGUAGGCGGUUCUAUAAGUCGGGUGUGAAAGCUCUUGGCUUAACCAAGGGAGGGCGUUUGAUACUAUAGGACUUGAGGGUGGGAGAGGGUGGCGGAAUUCCCGGUGUAGGAGUGAAAUGCGUAGAUAUCGGGAGGAACACCAGUGGCGAAGGCGGCCACCUGGACCACAACUGACGCUGAGGAGCGAAAGCGUGGGGAGCAAACAG
RNAcentral lists this ribosomal RNA (251 nucleotides) under uncultured prokaryote. RNAcentral describes it as "partial 16S rRNA". It matches the Rfam family "Bacterial small subunit ribosomal RNA", at positions 525 to 775 of the family's 1533-position model. The record is from RNAcentral.